This is a long non-coding RNA of Oxyura jamaicensis (ruddy duck), 2650 nucleotides long. RefSeq lists it as uncharacterized. The transcript is spliced from 3 exons. NCBI's taxonomy places the organism in Eukaryota, Metazoa, Chordata, Aves, Anseriformes, Anatidae. The record is from RefSeq and is a predicted model, not a curated record.
CAGGAAGGUGUCCUGGACACAGUGUGUUAUUCUUUAAAUCUUCCUCUCUGGAGUUUGUUUGCUCCAAAAGCCACGCUCACAUGCCAGCUCCAUAAGGGUUAACCUGAAGGUUGUGUACUUAUGUAAUUACUGGAACUGAAACAGCCCCACCAGGAAAGUGUUUUACAGCAGAAUACAUUUGACUUUGGCAUGGGAAAAUAAUACCAACAGCCACUUUUAGGCUCAUACUUCUGCAUCAUAUAACAGGAAGUGGUAUGUGCUGCUCUGACGAUACUGGUCUACCACACCAGUUCCUCUACAGAAGAGUCACAGCAGAGCAGGAAGCAUAGGCCUAGCAGCCCAUAUCCAGGUUCUCCCUCAGCUCUGCACAACAGUAAGGCAGCAAGACACGCCAGGCAGGGCUGAGAUGACAGCAGCAUUUGGGGUACACUGCUGAUGACAUCCCCUGCUGUGAUAGAAGCAGGGCACCGAGGCAGAACCGACUGCAAGGCGGCAGCAGAGCAGAGGAGGAAUGACCUAAGAUGAGGUAUGGUGUAAUUACAAUUAAUCCCUCCUGGCAUAGCCAUACUCUCCCCUUGACGUCACUGGCAGGAGUUCAGUUUGCAUCUAGAGCACAUUUCGCUGUACAAGCUGAAACACAGCUUUGGGACCAUGAACAGUGGCCAAGGUUGGACAACUGCACCGACAAACCCUCAUGGCACAGUAACAGAACCUCCUCCUACAGAGAAGGAGACCAUGUGAAGAAGGGAUGACGAGCUCUGAUCAUGGGACCAGAGGCUUCACUUGAACAGAGAACAUGUUUCAGCAAUUUGGACUUCUAACAAUUCGAUGGGUGGGAGCACUUCAGAGAGAAGAUACUGACAGGCCUGUUUAAGCAGGUGGACAGAGAGAAGCUGUGCAUUAAUGCUGAGGUGCCCAGCUAAUAGAACUCAGUCUUUUCAUAAGAGUAAAGAUAAGUAUAUAUAAACAGUUUAUUUGUUUUCUCUCCACAGAUCACUCCAGUUGGCUUCAGGCAAACAGAAGCCACAGCAUCCAAGCCCUAUCCAAGAGGAAGAAAUUGUUUGCAUCCUCCAGUUCUUGGUACAGAUUCACUGAGCUGAAUUUGUCCAAGAAGUAUUAUUGGAGAACUUGCCUGAACUUCCAGGGCACAUAUAGAGGUGGUCUUAGCCCACCAGUUCACUGAAAUGAACUAGUUCUGGAUGGCACAUAUUUUAUUUCUGCCUGUUGGCUUCCUUCCAGUCAGUCUCAAGGUGUUGGCCAGCUCAGAAAGGGGACCUCUUCAGCUGCUGAGAUCAAUACAGCCCUCAGUAAAGGAAGGAGUAGGAGGCGGAGGCUGCCCAACAUAACAGGUUAUAAUGGCAGUGGCUUGUUACCCUGGGAAUGCAACUGGGUGCUUUGCUGAGCAGAGGCAGCUCCAGGGUUUUGAUUGGUGAAACACCCUUCAGUUAGCAGCUUUGAACAGGACUCCCAGUAAAAAAUAGCAGGGAUGUCGUUGACGAGAAGGCUGAGGAUAACAUACAGGAGCUCCAGAGUGACCACACACAGCUGUCUGAAAUCCUGGAGUUGUUGAAAAAUUCUCUCUAAUCCAUCAGUGCAGAGCAGAAGUGCUACAUAAGCAGGAAUCUGAGUUUACAUUGCAGCAAAGAUAACUCAUUUACAUUUCCUGGAAUCUAGUAUUUGUGCAGAAUAUCCGUGUGGUUUCUCCACUGCAAUGUCACCUGUUAGUUCUACGGUUUCAGCCACAAUAGUUUCAUACAGCAGAAAUGUUUUUCCUGGCCACAAAAGAUUUGCCUUGCCCAGAUACCAAUCCCCUCAUAUAUUUAUCUUGAGGUCUUAAUGUGUCUGGCCCAAGGAAACAGAAAUAAAAAAAAAAGAGCAAAGAAUUAAAAACAAGCAGAGAGGACUGAAAAGGAAACUGGAAAACAAAGAUCUAAAGAAUGGAAAAGUGAACUAACAUCAAAGAUAUCAGAAGAAUAGCUCCAGCUGCAAGAAUAGGAAGGUGUGGUAUGUAAUUCUUGUUUACUUUGUAUACAAUAGAGGGGUACCAGCACAAUUCAGUGGAAGGCAUUAUUAUUGCUUGUGUGUAACACCACACCUGAAAUGGGGAGUUUCAACUUCACCAGGCCCAGCUCUUCCCCGAGGAAUCAUCUUCACCCGCCCCACUGAGCUCCCUUUGGUAGCUCCUAGUAGACUGGCAUUUUGGCAUCUCCCACAUCCUUUGCCAGUGUGUUCACCUGACUCCAGAAGGUGCGUGGAGAGAAGGGUCAGGCUCGCUGUUUUUAAAAUGCACUAAAGCAAACUCUGAGAAACGUUAACCCUAGGACAUUGACAUGGUUAUUUAAGAAAGAAAGGACUGGGCAUUAUGCUGCUAAAAUCUGUUUGUCAUGGGUUUAAGCCAACAUGUUUUCUUUGAAGUUUGGGCGGGUGCAUGACAUGGUCAGUUAUUGCAGCUCAACAGCUGGCAACUGGUUAAACUGCAGUAGAGCUGCCACUCUGCAUCAAGAGGUCCCAAACGGCAGUGCAGCCCAGACAGAUGGACCACACAGCCUUCAAGCUGCAGCACAGGCUCACAUUCAUAGAAUCACAGAAUGGUUUGGGUUGGAAGGGACCUUAAAGAUCAUCUUAUUCCAACCCCCCUGCCAUAAGCAGG